Molecule: non-coding RNA, 723 nt
Organism: Labrus bergylta (ballan wrasse)
Lineage: Eukaryota; Metazoa; Chordata; Actinopteri; Labriformes; Labridae
Source: RefSeq, a predicted model, not a curated record
CGGAGCUCAGAGCGGAUGCAGCUGAUGAAGAGACUGAAGUUAUUUUAAAGAGUUUAUUGAGGUGAGUGUAACUUUACUCACACACACAGUGUUACAGUGUGUGUGUGUGUGUGUGUGUGUGUGUGUGUGUGUGGGUGUGUGUGACAGUCUGACUGAUGGAUCUCUCUCUCUCUGCUGAAUCUACACGGAAGUGUGCAAACUCCGGUUUGUGUCUCACUCUGCAGACAUGAACAAAGUGUGUCACACCUCAAGAUCCGCUCGUGCUGCUUCAAACUGACCUUCACUCCAAACAAAUCUCACAGAGACAAAGUCUGAACCACAGACCCUCUGAACCACAGACCCUCUGAACCACAGACCCUCUGAACCACAGACCCUCUGAACCAGCACCCCGCCUCCAAACACGCCCUGAACUGUGCAGCGAGCCAGCGCCGAGGAACGGACAGACAAGUCUGAACUCUUCUCUGAUGUCAUCACAUUCACACCUGUUCGGUUAAACGAACUGAGCCGAACUGAGCCGAACUGAGCCGAAGCUUCACCCGAGUCAGAGAGUCUGAGACAGGUGGUGUGAUGCCUGAAGACUCUUUUAGCUCCUCCCAUGACGUCCCAAUGGAUAAAGGUAAGACACUCCCCUUCUUCUUCAUGAGCGUCGUCUUCACAAACAAUGAGGACUUUCUGUUGUUGUUGUUGUUGCUGUUGUUGUUGUUGUUGGGCGGCAGUAGCUCA